This 487-nucleotide ribosomal RNA is filed under the name uncultured bacterium. Its description in RNAcentral is "bacterial SSU rRNA". It matches the Rfam family "Bacterial small subunit ribosomal RNA", at positions 58 to 590 of the family's 1533-position model. The record is from RNAcentral.
CAAGUCGAACGAAGUAGCAAUACUUAGUGGCAGACGGGUGAGUAACAUGUAGGUAUCUACCCUUUGGCCUGGAAUAACACGAGGAAACUUGUGCUAAUACCAGAUAAGUCUUUACGGAGAAAGCUUUAUGCACCAUUGGAUGAGCCUGCACUUGAUUAGUUUGUUGGUGGGGUAAUGGCCUACCAAGACUGUGAUCAAUAGCUGAUUUGAGAGGAUGAUCAGCCACAUUGGGACUGAGACACGGCCCAAGCUCCUACGGGAGGCAGCAGUGGGGAAUCUUGCACAAUGGAGGAAACUCUGAUGCAGCGAUGCCGCGUGAGUGAAGAAGGCCUUUGGGUUGUAAAGCUCUUUCGUCGGGGAAGAAAAUGACUGUACCCGAAUAAGAAGGUCCGGCUAACUUCGUGCCAGCAGCCGCGGUAAUACGAAGGGACCUAGCGUAGUUCGGAAUUACUGGGCUUAAAGAGUUCGUAGGUGGUUGAAAAAGUUA